AAAAGAAGAUCAAGAAGAGCUUCAGAAUGAAGCUUUCUUGAUGGAGGGGAGCGGCAGACGGGUGAGUAACGCGUGGGAACGUACCCUUUACUACGGAACAACUCCGGGAAACUGGAGCUAAUACCGUAUGUGCCCUUUGGGGGAAAGAUUUAUCGGUAAAGGAUCGGCCCGCGUUGGAUUAGCUAGUUGGUGGGGGAAAGGCCUACCAAGGCGACGAUCCAUAGCUGGUCGGAGAGGAUGAUCAGCCACAUUGGGACUGAGACACGGCCCAAACUCCUACGGGAGGCAGCAGUGGGGAAUAUUGGACAAUGGGCGCAAGCCUGAUCCAGCCAUGCCGCGUGAGUGAUGAAGGCCCUAGGGUUGUAAAGCUCUUUCACCGGGGAAGAUAAUGACGGUACCCGGAGAAGAAGCCCCGGCUAACUUCGUGCCAGCAGCCGCCGCCG
This 443-nucleotide ribosomal RNA is filed under the name uncultured bacterium. RNAcentral's name for it is "partial 16S ribosomal RNA". It matches the Rfam family "Bacterial small subunit ribosomal RNA", at positions 48 to 523 of the family's 1533-position model. The record is from RNAcentral.